UAAAAAACUUUGUUAAAUAAUUCAUCCCCCUGCUAAUUUAAGAUGCUGGUUUUGUCAUAAGCAAUAAUCCAUAUAAAUAAUUGGGUCUGUCCCUAAACUUUCUGAUGUCAUAUCCUUCUUAGUGCCUCAAACUAGAUCCUGUUCAGACAUUUUAUGACAAGUUAGCAUAAGUUUAUUCUGAUGCAAAAAACCCCUGAAAUCUAUGCAUAGGUUUUUCAAAAUACACAUUUUCCAUAAACUUUUUGAAGACCCCUAUUAUUUCUGUAUUUGUUUAACCA
RNAcentral lists this long non-coding RNA (278 nucleotides) under Pan troglodytes (chimpanzee). Its description in RNAcentral is "long non-coding RNA NONPTRT010114". Lineage: Eukaryota; Metazoa; Chordata; Mammalia; Primates; Hominidae. The record is from RNAcentral.